RNAcentral lists this ribosomal RNA (499 nucleotides) under uncultured bacterium. Its description in RNAcentral is "partial 16S ribosomal RNA". It matches the Rfam family "Bacterial small subunit ribosomal RNA", at positions 28 to 507 of the family's 1533-position model. The record is from RNAcentral.
GACGAACGCUGGCGGCGUGCCUAAUACAUGCAAGUCGAGCGAAGUUUUUCUGGUGCUUGCACCGGAAAAACUUAGCGGCGCACGGGUGAGUAACACGUAAAGAACCUGCCUCAUAGACUGGGACAACUAUUGGAAACGAUAGCUAAUACCGGAUAACAGCAUUAACUGCAUGGUUGAUGUUUAAAAGUUGGUUUUGCUAACACUAUGAGAUGGCUUUGCGGUGCAUUAGCUAGUUGGUGGGGUAAAGGCCUACCAAGGCGACGAUGCAUAGCCGACCUGAGAGGGUGAUCCGCCACACUGGGACUGAGACACGGCCCAGACUCCUACGGGAGGCAGCAGUAGGGAAUCUUCCGCAAUGGGCGAAAGCCUGACGGAGCAACGCCGCGUGAGUGAAGAAGGAUUUCGGUUCGUAAAGCUCUGUUGUUAGGGAAGAAUGAUUGUGUAGUAACUAUACACAGUAGAGACGGUACCUAACCAGAAAGCCACGGCUAACUACGUG